Gymnothorax javanicus (giant moray) is the source of this 73-nucleotide non-coding RNA. The record is from the annotation of a GenBank genome assembly. Lineage: Eukaryota; Metazoa; Chordata; Actinopteri; Anguilliformes; Muraenidae.
GGCUUUUUGGUGAUGUGGUCAGCAUGUCUGACUUUUACCGGGGAGUCUGGGGUUCAAUUCCCCGCCAGGGCCC